GAUGUUCACUGAAAUAAUAGACAGGGGCUUAAAUUCAGGUACUGAGUAUUUAUCCUGUGGGAAGUUUACCAUCUAUGUACACCAAGAUUCUUUUAUUUUACAUAUGUGAUAAAUCUUUGUUGUCUGCUUGGCUCUGCAUGAACAUUUGAAAAACAACAACAACAAACCACAUAAUUUAUUGACAAAUGCCAAACCAAAUGACACUUGCAUUUAACUAAAACUAAACACAUUGGUCCAACUCAAGCUGAGGAAAUACAAACAGGUAGCUUACUGAUUGUUUAUUUAUUUAUUAGUAAACUUUCAUGCAGACAUUCCGACAAAAUAAUUCACUGCAUGUGGCAUUUAAAGCACGUUUGAUGCACACGGCUUUCUGCAAAGAAUUAUGGAAGCUACAAUUCCCAGCAUCCUUAACAAGCUACAGUUACCAGGAUUCUUUGGGUGGCUGUAAUUGAAAUGUGAUUUGAAUGUAUGGCCUACAAGAUCAGCAGUUGGUUGAUUCUAUGACUCAACCAACUGUUCUCACUGAGUCUGUGUCUGGAGCUCAUAUGACUGAAUUAUCCUACUACUGUACACAGAGAAACAAUUUCCUUUUACAGUAUGCGAGUGCUGGUAGAAAGUAUACCAUCACCAAGAGACAGAGUUAUGAAUCAGGAAAUCCCCAUUUUAGAUCUUUCAUCUGCUAGGAGGCAUUAGGCCAUGCUCUCUCAGUCACAGCCCACAGUUCAAAUGCAAAAACGGACAUAUAGUUCGACAAGGUGGAACAGACUCAUCCACAACAUUGCUAUGGGUGAGAGAACUCACCAGCCUAACCAGAAUGCCUAGGUGUGGAGAAUGAAAUAAAGGUAGCAUCUAAAGUGGGAAAUAUUGUAAUAACAGGUAGCUUCAGGUACUCUCACAUAGAUUGUGACUAUGUACACACCAUACGUUUAAAGCAUGCCUCUCCCCAAUGAAAUUGUCAUUUGCUCCUCACAGAGCUACAAUCCCCAGCACCCUAACUACAGUUCCCAUAAUUCUUUAGUGAGGGGAAAUUGGCCUUAAAUGUAUAAUCUGUAUGCAACCUGGGUCCAUGUGUGUUUCAGACAGAAGAAAGAGGGUAUUUUAAAAAAAGAAACUGUUAAAGACUGCCCUAGAACAGUUGGUCAUGAAAACAACAAGACAGAAGGCAACUCUGGACUUUAAUCUUGGGUGAUCUUAAGACCUGGUGUGAGAUGUAAAUGUUGUUGAACCGAUUGGGAAUAGCUGCCACAGUGCUGCCAAGCUCAACACAUAUGUAACUGGACAGUUGCCAAGCAAGUCAAACAGAGUCACAUUUGACCUCAAAACAAGAAACUUUUUUUUAAAAAAAGAGGGGACUGGUAAAAAGGAAUCAUAGAAUCAUAGAGUUGGAAGAGACCACAAGGGCCAUCGAGUCCAACCCCCUGCCAAGCAGGAAACACCAUCAGAGCACUCCUGACAUAUGGUUGUCAAGCCUCUGCUUAAAGACCUCCAAAGAAGGAGACUCCACCACACUCCUUGGCAGCAAAUUCCACUGUUGAACAGCUCUUACUGUCAGGAAGUUCUUCCUAAUGUUUAGGUGGAAUCUUCUUUCUUGUAGUUUGGAUCCAUUGCUCUGUGUCCGCUUCUCUGGAGCAGCAGAAAACAACCUUUCUCCCUCCUCUAUGUGACAUCCUUUUAUAUAUUUGAACAUGGCUAUCAUAUCACCCCUUAACCUCCUCUUCUCCAGGCUAAACAUGCCCAGCUCCAUUAGCCGUUCCUCAUAAGGCAUCGUUUCCAGGCCUUUGACCAUUUUUGUUGCCCUCCUCUGGACACGUUCCAGUUUGUCAGUGUCCUUUUUGAACUGUGGUGCCCAGAACUGGACACAGUACUCCAGGUGAGGUCUGACCAGAGCAGAAUACAGUGGCACUAUUACUUCCCUUGAUCUAGAUGCUAUACUCCUAUUGAUGCAGCCCAGAAUUGCAUUGGCUUUUUAGCUGCCGCGUCACACUGUUGGCUCAUGUCAAGUUUGUGGUCAACCAAGACUCCUAGAUCCUUUUCACAUGUACUGCUCUCAAGCCAGGUGUCCCCAUCUUGUAUUUGUGCCUCUCAUUUUUUUGCCCAAGUGCAAUACUUUACAUUUCUCCCUGUUAAAAUUCAUCUUGUUUGUUUUGGCCCAGUUCUCUAAUCUGUCAAGGUCGUUUUGAAGUGUGAUCCUGUCCUCUGGGGUGUUAGCCACCCCUCCCAGUUUGGUGUCAUCUGCAAAUUUGAUCAGGAUGCCCUUGAGUCCAUCAUCCAAGGGAGUUGAAAGUCAAGAGGGUAAAAUCUCUCCAGAAUGCUUGGGGACUAUACAAAAGCACAAUGAUAGAAGAAGGUCAGCUAAAAAAUAUAUGGCAGAUCAGGAAAGGUACCACCAGGGCCAAUAGGAUAUCAACAUGGUCAAGAACAGUCUGAUAAGCUGUUAGAAAGCUGCUCCUCCUCCUGCUGCUGUUGUUGUAACGGAAGUUGUUACCAAGCUCAGCAGGUCAAGUGUUCUCAUAGUGCUUGUGUCAUUGUUAGCUACUUGCAGUUUGAUAGUUUUGAACCUUUGGUGGUCUGUUGUACACAACUGCAGUGGCCUGUUCUCCCAACAUGAUCAUCUUCAGCUGACAUUCUCUUAUUAGUAGUUCUAAUGAGGUGUUUAGUGCCCACCUGCUACAAGCUCAAUCUAGUAAAUAACGUAGCUAGUACAGCCUGCUAUAUUGAGAGAAGUGUUUAGUAUAUGCAUAUAAGGAGAGAUCAAUAUCGGCAUCCAGAGUAUUGAUACACUGUAUAAAGAUUUGUUAUCAGUUUAUCUGUAAAAUUAUACAGUUUAUUUUGUAUGCCACUGAGCAGCCAUGUUUCACACAAACUCAGGGCAGGACUCAAUUAAGGGAGGAUUGAGGUCCACUAGUGCAACAGGCCUUUCACUCCUCUCCUGCCCCUUGUGGCCCCUUAAUCUGCACCGGAGGGUUGAGAGAACACCGAGAACAGGUUUAGCAGACAAGGGAAGAGAAGGUCCCUUCGCUCAAGUGGGUCUUGUUACACAUACGCAUAUCCUUAGGGUGGAAUUCAACACAGUGCAAAGGACUGUAAGUCAGCUUUUACUUAGAGUAGACUCAUUGAAAUUAAUGACAGUCAGUAACCUAGGUCAAUUAUUUUCAAUGAGUCUGCAACCCUAAGACUUGGUGGAUGCUCACAACUAAAUACUGAAGGGGGAAAUGUUCUUGGCAGUCAAGACAUAUCAAAAAUGUGCUUAGGUAUCAGGGAAAGAUCACAUGUUUAUUAACAGAAAUGCAACUAUUGUUCCCUUACUGGGUAAUUUCACAAUACCCCUCUCUCCUGAUUGAAACAGGGUUAACUUCUUUUUCCAAUGUAUAAUAUUUGCAGUUGUCUCCUUCAUAUUAGAGAACUCAGCCAUCCAUGCAGAGAACCAAGAACGCUAAUUAGGAGUCAACAGUGUGGCUCCCUAGCAUUGCAAACACACACACACACACACACACACACACACACACACACACACGAAUACACUUUAAAAAACACCCAACAAAGCACAUUCUAAAUCAUCCUAUUACUGGUGCAUGUGUGCUAGCUUCAGUCACCAAAAAUCUUCUAGCAUUCAGAAUGCUUGCUGGAGAAAGGGAGACCAUCUGGCAGGUAGAGAAAGUAGGCUUACAUUUGCUGUUUCUGGAAUUAUACUGGCCAUGCAAUUCUCAUAGCGUUUCUCCAGUGAUGGUAACUGCCGGAUAAUAUGAGAACCAUUGACAUCUUCCUGCCUCUCCAUUCACCAAGAAUGUGCUUUAUCUCAUGACUUCCUUAAAAAGGUGGUCCAGUGCAACUGAGGACAUUGAUAAUAAAAGAUAAAAAGAUUUUUAUAAAUGGAUGGCAUGAAACAACAAGACAAUCCGUUUCCAUAAAAAUAGCAGCACAUAACUAAUAAUAUCAAGAUCAAUUAGCCCAUAAUAAGAGCAGCUUCAAACAAUUUCAAUAAAGAUUACUAGCUUUGGGGGGUGGGGGACAGAGCAAAAGAGGUCUAUACCAACUCAUGAACAAAGUGAAUUCUAUUCAGGAUGUAUUUCGAAAUUAUAGGCGUAACUCCUGAGGAGGCUCUUUUCCUGGUUCCAAUCAAAUAAACCUCAGGGAGAGUUGGAACAUAAAAGAGAUUUCUGACAAUCGUUUUAAUAAGUGGCCAGGUUCAUAUGGGAAAGGGUGGUUCUUUGGCUAUCCUGGGCCUACACUGUGGGUCCCCACUUGUGAACAUAAGAAGGCCCCUGCUGGAUCAGACCAGAGGCUUAUCUAGUCCUGUAUCUUGCUUUCCACAGUGGCCAUAGACAAGUUGUCUAUGGGAAGCCCACAACCAGAACAUGACAGUCAUUUCUCAGGAACUAAUAGUCUACCUCUGGUUAUUCCUAGCAGCCAUUCAGUAGUGGAUGGUGUGAUGGGUGGCAUCACUCACCUGGCCAUUGCUUUUUUGUCAUAUCACUGUUGCUUAUUGAGAGGUAGAGGAGGAGGGGGGAGGCAACAGAAAAGUUGGUGCUGUGCAAACACAUUGGCUGAGCCAAUCCUGUACUUCUGCUGGGGCGUUUGCACCAUGCCAGCCUCUGCUCUGCCUCUCCCUUCCGCUUCUCUCUUCUGGUAAGCAGCAGUGAUGUGACUGUCUAGAGGGCAGGUGAGCAGUAGAACCUGCAACCCACUUUAUAGUCCUUGACAGCCUUAUUGUCACUAAUAUUGCCUUUUCAAAGAUGGAAAAUCUCUGUAUGUGUAUUUCUAACUUUAUCUCCGGGGCCAAAGUGAAACUUCUCACUGAAGAUCUAAGAUGGCAGAAUUUGGUAAUUUUUGCCCGCUGUCAGAUAAUAAGAAAGAAAGAUUGUAACCUUCACAUUUGUGAAUCAAUUGGUAGAUUUAUUU
Molecule: non-coding RNA, 4899 nt
Organism: Podarcis lilfordi (Lilford's wall lizard)
Lineage: Eukaryota; Metazoa; Chordata; Lepidosauria; Squamata; Lacertidae
Source: the annotation of a GenBank genome assembly